UUGGCUACGCGCUGCGACUUCAGUUUGUCACCGCGCUGCGUGAACUUCAGGACUUCUUGACCCAAGAUGUCUUCAUGAUCGCAUCGUGCAGAUCAUGUGCCGCGUAUAGCAUUGGUUAGAAACUUCGCGAAACGAGCGGAUCGUUUCUUCGGCAUAGAACACACUGGGGAACUGCUGUGGUCUCUAGAGUUCUAUCGGACUAGCCUGCACACUGCAGCCUGGCGUUCUCGAGUUCCAUGAUUUCAGGAAUCGACUGACUUUAUCUAGAGAAAAUCCGCGCUUGACUUGCAAUUCAAGUGCGGUAGUGCCAACGCUACAAGCAUGCAGUGCUCUGUAGGCAUCUGCGCCGAGAGCGUACUCUCGACUCUUGAGGAUCCUUUACCCAGCUCUUGUCGGUACAAGACUGAUCACCUAUAGAUGUAUCCGUUACUGUAUCCAAGAAGACUUUUUAAUGGCUGCGUUUCAAGCUGGUCCAGCGACGCGUGCACGCAACACUGACGAGAACUGAGCUGCGGGCCGAACCCAAGCUCCACUACCAGUACCCCAAGGAGCGGGUUUUCUGUAUCAGAACGCUUCAGGUAUCUCAUCAGCUCAUUCCGUCGUGAUUUUUAAUGGAACUCAACUUAUCACACACUCAUCUGAGGCCGUAGGCGCCCUGAAAACGUACGGUUCUCGGAAACAACGCGCGUUUCAUUGACGACGGGCGCAUGUCGCUUGCUCGCGUCAUUUUCUAUGCUUGAACUGUGGCUCCUUCGCUGCACUUGCCGUGCGAGUGCGCCAUGUAUGGAGACGAAAACCUCGGGGAUUUUUUAAUGACCGCGAAAUUCAGCGAGUCGGACGCCAGUGCGAUACGAGCGACUAAAUCUGCUGAUCUGCAUGGAACGAUGCGUCUGACAAUCUUCUCCCGCGGGAUUCUUCAAGUUUUCACUCGCAUGCAAGAGCUUGCUGGUUUGCCAUUCGAUGGGGCGCAAACGCGGCCAUCAGCAUUGCACGCUGUACUGAACAUUCGUGUUUAGGCGCUCGCACCACACAGAACACCCCUUGGAGAAAGCACAAGCGCUCAACGAGUUGAUUGCCCGUCAGUCCACCUGAUUUCCCGCAUCCGAAAUUCACGUUUCGACACGAGCAAGAAGACACUAUAUUCUGUGAAAGUGCUGUUCUUCGUGAUACCAUGGAUGGCGUCACCGAAUCGAACCGCAUUCGUCUUGGUUUACGAACUGUACCAGUGCUUCGUACCCGAUAUAUCCCAUGGGUAGUGUACGACCCCGUCCAGAAUACAUACCUCAUUGCCCUGCAUGUAUCUCUAUGAUGGACCUUUUGGAGAUCGGAUACGGGCCAGGACGCCUCGCAAUCAAUGCUUUCUUGAUCGUGCUGGAGUAGGCAAUUUUUUCUACCAAACCUAGCAAUCUUUGACGGAACACGACAACUUCAUCUGUUCCGCGGACGUUGUUGGCGACGGCGGCGACAUAUUGUUGUACGCCAUCGCUCACCAGUGCCCAUAUCGAAGCGUACAGGAACUGUGUCUUGCGUGAGAGGCAGACGCAACGUGCAUCUCGCCGCUCGCCUAGACCCGAUUCCAGCGUGGCGAUCCCUAGAAGGUCGCUCCGUCAAAGUGACGUUCAGUUCGAGGCACACGUCCAAGAACAAACUGGUAUCAGCUUUGUUUUCAAGGCUGACACCAGACUCCCUAUAUUCCAUCGCUUUCAGCCAACGGCGUCGCCGGCAUGGGCUGCUGAGAUAAACCAUAGGGUUGACAGUCGCCUCCGAUGCGAACAUGAAUAGCAGGUCCUGAUGGAAGAUUUCGAAAUAGACAUAAUCAAUACGGGUAAAUAUUAGAGAUAC
RNAcentral lists this unclassified non-coding RNA (1842 nucleotides) under Cyanidioschyzon merolae strain 10D. Its description in RNAcentral is "hypothetical transcript". Lineage: Eukaryota; Rhodophyta; Bangiophyceae; Cyanidiales; Cyanidiaceae. The record is from RNAcentral.